Molecule: long non-coding RNA, 1129 nt
Organism: Vitis riparia (riverbank grape)
Lineage: Eukaryota; Viridiplantae; Streptophyta; Magnoliopsida; Vitales; Vitaceae
Exons: 4
Source: RefSeq, a predicted model, not a curated record
AUACGAUGGAGCCUUUUUUAUUGGUAAAUUCACAUGUUGUUUUUCCCAUUGAACUGUUGUUUUUCUUUCUUUAUUUUUUUAAAGCUAAUUUUGGUUGCAAUUUUGUGCAUAGUAUCUGGAACAGAGCCUCCUUGAGAGUUAUUCAUCUAGUUGAAGGCUUCCCUUUGUGGUAUUGCUACUUUAUGCUUGCUAGAAAUAUUUAAUCAUCAAUUAACUAUCUUGUGUUUAUCUCAAAAUAUGAUGGCCAGUUUGCUAUGAGGAAUUUUAUCUGCAUUACUAGUUGAUAAUCACACUUUGGAAGGUGAAAAGACCUUCAUUUAAUAGAGGUUCGUAUUUUUGAUCAGAUACCGAAUUGUGUUUACCACUUUGUCAGGCUAUGCACUUCAAUUUGGCAUUGGGUUAUCAUUUCUAAUUCAAAUUCCAUUCCGAUUGUUACCCUUUCCGAAUAAUGCACAGCAAUGACACACAUCGUUUGGAAAUUUCAAAAUCUUGUGUACAGGAUGCCAUGAAUUUAAACAAUGUACUAAUAUCUAUUAUGUAUUACCUAUCUUUCCACCCUUGGAUUCAUGUUGUGGUUGUUCAAAAAUUCCCCAUUAUGAUUCAUUUCAUACUGUGCAACAUGAAAGGAGAAUGAAACUUGAAGCUUCUGCCAAGGCAGGACAUGGAUACUUUCUACUCUUGAUAGCCAGUUAUAAUAUUUGAAUCUAUAUUCUGUUAUUUAUAGUCAUUGGCAUUGGUGUUUAGUCCCUUGACUUCUAUAGCAGUCCAUGGUGACAUGAUGAAGAAGGAAAUGGAGGCAAGUGCUCUGCUGGGGUCCAUGGCUUUGCAAUGAAGCUUAAUGUGGUCUCAAGGUGUAUUAGGUUUUCUACUCCUUCAGUGCAGCUUAUGAAGUUCUAAGACUGCUGCAGAAGGCUUCAUCUCAAAUUGAGGUGAUGCACUCCCACUUCUCCAAUGUUAAUGAAGAUUAUAUCUGAAGUAUAAUAUAUAUCACUCUUCUCUUCCUAGCUUGGAAGAGAGAGAAAGAAAGGGAUAGAGUGUUCUACUCCACCAUCUAAGUAUGUGAUGAAAAGUUACAAAGGAAACUUGUUUGCUAAAAGAAGAGAAACCAUUGUGUUAAAGAAGGCGAAGU